RNAcentral lists this long non-coding RNA (1928 nucleotides) under Zostera marina. Its description in RNAcentral is "long non-coding RNA (ZMAR_LNC005986)". The record is from RNAcentral. Lineage: Eukaryota; Viridiplantae; Streptophyta; Magnoliopsida; Alismatales; Zosteraceae.
CCAACCCUUAAAUUCCUAACCCCCAACUUAACCUAUCUCUCCGAUUUUCAAUUUCUUCCAAAUCCAAUCGUUCCGAUUUCUUGCAUUCCAUUCCGGCAUUGGCGACCGCGCCUUCUUCAUCUUCCGACGAGUGCGAAUUCUUCAUCUUCCGGCAGGCGCAGUGAGGACAGUGAUCGAGUUCUUCAUCUUCCACAGUGAGGACAAUGAGGGCAGUGAGGACAGUGAGGACUUGGUGAAUUAAAACCCCCCUCCGGUGAGUUCUAUGACAUCCUCCGGUUUAGUUUUAUGUUCUUGGUGAAAAAUAUUUCACAAUACAAUCCUCCCUAAAUCACAAUCACAAUAUUUAUCACAAUACAAUCCUCAUUUAAAAUAUUUCUCUGUUUAAAACCCAAUCAUAUUUCUCCAAUAUGAUUGGGUAUUUCUCUGUUUAAAAUAUCAUGUAUUUAAAGUUCUGUUGUUUGAAGUACUACACUUGUUCUAUUUUAAAUCAUGGGUUCUAUUUUAAUCAAAAGUUCUGUUACUUAAAUCAUGGAUACGUCUUUAUGUUUCUAAAUAUAGAGAAUUUUACAGUGAUUUGAAUGGUUUUUUUGCUUUAUUACAGGUCGUGUUUGUAUUCCAAUAAUUGUUUGAGUGAUUUGAAUGAUUUUGAUCCAACAUCUGUGCCUAGCAUCUCAGAGUUUUUUGUUUUAAUUUAAUUGUAUUUGAAAUGGGUUUUCAUAUUGUUUUUUAUUUCAAAAGUUGCUGCAUCUGAUUCUCUUUCCGAUGCCGAUUGCAUUUUUAUAAAUUUCGAAAAGAAAUUUUGUCUGAACUUUGAAAUUGAACUGUAAUUUUGAUUUUCAAUCAUUUCUUUGUAAAAUAAGUUUUUCUGAUGCUCUGUAAUGUUAGUUUGAUAUUGGGUUCAAAAUUGACAUACCCGAAUCCAGAUUAGAGAACCAUAUCCAAAAAUGUUUCUGGAUUCUCCUCCUUAUUUGAUUAUUAAACUACAUAUAAUUAUCCAUAUUUAUUUAGAUAUAAAUCAUGUAAUUAUUAAACAAAGUAUUUUCAGAAAAACUAAAUAAUUAUGAAUACCAAUUCUAGAGAAUUAAACAAUUACCCUUAACAAAAAGUUAUAAGAAUAAAACAAUAAACCAAAGGCAAUUAGGCAACCAUUCUUAUUUUUUUAACAAUAUGCACUAAGUGCAUCUAAAGUUCCAAAUUCAAGUACAUUAGAAAAAUAGUGAAAUUUAGUUAUCAAAAUUUCCAACAAUGGAGAAGGUAAUUAUGUAAUGAUCUUAUCAUUAGGAUUUUGGCAACAUUGUAUUACUCUCUAUUAACAUAUGGUUCUUUUCAUCAUACUCUCUAUUCACAUUACUCUAAAUUAUUUCUUUUAUGUCGUAUGUUUAUUUGCAGGUUUAAUUUUAUGUUAUAUAUGUUUCGAGUUAGUUUCAGGUGUGCCAAAGCGCGCAUACGUCGAAAAAAAUUCGAUCGUUAGAUUCUAAUCCGUCGAUUGACGAUGCACUAUUUAUCAACAACUAAAUGAGUUGUGCGUCGUAUGUUAUGAUACGACCCGCACCUCAACUAGGUGUCUCAAGAAAACUCUGACAAAGUGGGUCAAUUACGUUUCCGACAACUUUAUAUUUACGUUACUUGCAUGUUUCCUUAUUUUAAUUAUUGCAUGGUUGAUUAGUUUCCGUGUUCUAUUAUUUAAUUGUUAAUUGGUUAUUUUCAUUGCAUGAUGUCCUUAUUUGCAUGGUUUCCUAGUUUAGCAUUAUUAAUUUUAUUACGAUUGUAAUUCAUAAUUAUGGAAAGUAGAUCAUAUAUUGAGUCUGUAUGGUCUAUUUAAACCAUUUUCGUCGAGUUAUUUAUCAUCAACAAUUUCAAUUCAAUUCCAUUUGUUACGUCCGAGCAUCUUCCCGGAUACGAAGCGUAUCAACUUGGUGCUUUCAAUA